GACGAACGCUGGCGGCGUGCCUAACACAUGCAAGUCGAACGGAAAGGCCCUGCUUGUUUGGUGUUCUCGGUUGGCGAACGGGUGAGUAACACGUGAGUAACCUGCCCUUGACUUUGGUAUAACUUCAGGAAACUGGGGCUAAUACCGGAUAGGAGCUUCUGCUGCAUGGUGGGGGUUGGAAAGUUUCGGCGGUUGGGGAUGGAGGCGCGGCUUAUCAGCUUGUUGGUGGGGAAGUGGCUUACCAAGGCUUUGACGGGUAGCCGGCCUGAGAGGGUGACCGGGCACAUAGGCCUAGGGGAGGGGCCAAGAGGGAAACGGGGGGCAGGGGCGGAAAACUGUGCCAACUGGGCGGAGGGCUGAAGGAAGAACGUCGCGUGGGAAAUGCCGGUUUUCGGGUAAUAAAACGAUUUCGCCUGUAACGAAGCGUGAGGGAGGGUACUGAGUAAAGAGGCACGGGUAAAUUAGGU
RNAcentral lists this ribosomal RNA (467 nucleotides) under uncultured bacterium. RNAcentral describes it as "partial 16S ribosomal RNA". It matches the Rfam family "Bacterial small subunit ribosomal RNA", at positions 28 to 506 of the family's 1533-position model. The record is from RNAcentral.